UCUAUCGAUCCGCCAGUUUGGACGGUAAGCAAACUGCAGGGGGUCUGUGAUGGCAAUCAGCACCAGUUCCUGAGUUGUGAGACAGUGUGGACCAACACGUCCCAUAAGAACGACAUCUCUGUCCCACAUGGGAAAUCACCACAGAGCAAUCUGCUUGGGGCCAUCUGGACCAUUUCAUUCUGCUGGUAACUGUAUGGCUGUGACUGCAUGGCAAAGAAAUCACGACCCAUUUGAGGUAGGCUCCUUCAGGUCACUAGUUACACAAAGAGGCCUGAUCUUUGUCACUAAACUGCACACAGUAACUUUAUUUAAUCAUAUUUAUGAAUUUAUUCAUAUUUGUAGAUGCUGUGAUGGAGCAAAAAGUGGAGAAAAUAGUCAAUAUUAA
Long non-coding RNA from Fundulus heteroclitus (mummichog), 385 nucleotides. RefSeq lists it as uncharacterized. Lineage: Eukaryota; Metazoa; Chordata; Actinopteri; Cyprinodontiformes; Fundulidae. The transcript is spliced from 3 exons. The record is from RefSeq and is a predicted model, not a curated record.